RNAcentral lists this long non-coding RNA (538 nucleotides) under Mytilus galloprovincialis (Mediterranean mussel). Lineage: Eukaryota; Metazoa; Mollusca; Bivalvia; Mytilida; Mytilidae. The record is from RNAcentral.
UUUAUCUGUAUCCGGAAAUCUUUCGGAAUCCAAUCUGAAUAUUACGUUCACUACUAAGGUCACAAUCCAGUAUGAUGUUGUUUGUAGAAUAAAAGUGUCAAUCCAAAUGCUAUGAAUAUUAAUGUCUAUCGAUGUCUAAGUCUAAGUCCAAGAGUAAAGAGUUUAACUUUAGUGUCUGUAUAUAUAUAGUUGUCAUGGAAGAUUCUAGAACAGUCUAUAAUGGAACAUCCUAGAAAGUUACAACAGAAGUUUCUAGUAAAAUGUAGAAGUUUAUAUAACGCAUCUUUUAUUAGGAUCAUUCUGGAAAGUUCCAAUCAUUCUGUAAUUGUUCCAGUGAUUUCUAAACUGCACAGUUCUAAGAUUAUUCUGUAAACAACUAUCAGGCCACACAACACAAAUCAGGCCAACAUAAAUAAAUACAAUAAUUACAAUAUCAUAACACCUCCCCCUUAAAAGAAGUUUUAGUGUAACAAAAAACUUAUCAUGAAUAAUAUGAACAAAAAUACAUAGUAUAUACAAAGUGUUUUAAUAAGCUCUA